Molecule: microRNA precursor, 75 nt
Filed under: Glycine max (soybean)
Lineage: Eukaryota; Viridiplantae; Streptophyta; Magnoliopsida; Fabales; Fabaceae
Description: miR10410b stem-loop (gma-MIR10410b)
Source: miRBase by way of RNAcentral
CACAUCGGUGCUGACGUAAGCACCGAUGUAGAAAUUACAUGUUUCCACAUCGUUGCUGACAUAAGCACCGAUGUA